UGCAUGUCACUUUCACUUUAUAGCCAUUAGGAAGAGUGACAAGAUAUGGCAGAGUUAAAGGUCUGAUGUUAACACAAUCAUCUUAAAACCUAUAUUGAUCCUAAUACAUGCCAGGAUUUAAAAAUAAAAAUAAAUCAAAACACAACUAAAACUAAAAUCAGAACAAACAGAGAAAAAAGUAGAUGUUUAUCAUGUGUCAUGUGAUUAGAGGCACCUGAAUCUAUAAUCCAGGUGAC
RNAcentral lists this long non-coding RNA (236 nucleotides) under Nicotiana benthamiana. RNAcentral describes it as "long non-coding RNA (NBEN_LNC001021)". Lineage: Eukaryota; Viridiplantae; Streptophyta; Magnoliopsida; Solanales; Solanaceae. The record is from RNAcentral.